Molecule: ribosomal RNA, 1490 nt
Filed under: Borrelia miyamotoi
Lineage: Bacteria; Pseudomonadati; Spirochaetota; Spirochaetia; Spirochaetales; Borreliaceae
Description: bacterial SSU rRNA
Rfam family: Bacterial small subunit ribosomal RNA
Source: RNAcentral
UAGAACUAACGCUGGCAGUGCGUCUUAAGCAUGCAAGUCAGACGGAAUGUAGCAAUACAUUCAGUGGCGAACGGGUGAGUAACGCGUGGAUAAUCUACCUACGAGAUGGGGAUAACUAUUAGAAAUAGUAGCUAAUACCGAAUAAAGUCAAUUAAGAUGUUAGUUGAUGAAAGGAAGCCUUUAAAGCUUCGCUUGUAGAUGAGUCUGCGUCUUAUUAGCUAGUUGGUGGGGUAAGAGCCUACCAAGGCUAUGAUAAGUAACCGGCCUGAGAGGGUGAUCGGUCACACUGGAACUGAGAUACGGUCCAGACUCCUACGGGAGGCAGCAGCUAAGAAUCUUCCGCAAUGGGCGAAAGCCUGACGGAGCGACACUGCGUGAACGAAGAAGGUCGAAAGAUUGUAAAGUUCUUUUAUAAGUGAGGAAUAAGCUUUGUAGGAAAUGACAAAGCGAUGACGUUAAUUUAUGAAUAAGCCCCGGCUAAUUACGUGCCAGCAGCCGCGGUAAUACGUAAGGGGCGAGCGUUGUUCGGGAUCAUUGGGCGUAAAGGGUGAGUAGGCGGAUAUGCAAGUCUAUGUGUAAAAUACCACAGCUCAACUGUGGAACUAUGCUGGAAACUGCAUGACUAGAGUCUGAUAGGGGAAGUUAGAAUUCCUGGUGUAAGGGUGGAAUCUGUUGAUAUCAGGAAGAAUACCAGAGGCGAAGGCGAACUUCUAGGUCAAGACUGACGCUGAGUCACGAAAGCGUAGGGAGCAAACAGGAUUAGAUACCCUGGUAGUCUACGCUGUAAACGAUGCACACUUGGUGUUAAUCGAAAGGUUAGUACCGAAGCUAACGUGUUAAGUGUGCCGCCUGGGGAGUAUGUUCGCAAGAAUGAAACUCAAAGGAAUUGACGGGGGCCCGCACAAGCGGUGGAGCAUGUGGUUUAAUUCGAUGAUACGCGAGGAACCUUACCAGGGCUUGACAUAUACAGGAUAUAGUUAGAGAUAACUAUUCCCCGUUUGGGGUCUGUAUACAGGUGCUGCAUGGUUGUCGUCAGCUCGUGCCGUGAGGUGUUGGGUUAAGUCCCGCAACGAGCGCAACCCUUGUUGUCUGUUACCAGCAUGUAAAGAUGGGGACUCAGACGAGACUGCCGGUGAUAAGCCGGAGGAAGGUGAGGAUGACGUCAAAUCAUCAUGGCCCUUAUGUCCUGGGCUACACACGUGCUACAAUGGCCUGUACAAAGCGAUGCGAAACAGUGAUGUGAAGCAAAACGCAGAAAGCAGGUCUCAGUCCAGAUUGAAGUCUGAAACUCGGCUUCAUGAAGUUGGAAUCGCUAGUAAUCGUAUAUCAGAAUGAUACGGUGAAUACGUUCUCGGGCCUUGUACACACCGCCCGUCACACCACCCGAGUUGAAGAUACCCGAAGCUAUUAUUCUAACCCGCAAGGGAGGAAGGUAUCUAAGGUAUGUUUAGUGAGGGGGGUGAAGUCGUAACAAGGUAGCCGUACUGGAA